AGUCGAGCGGUAGAGAGGUGCUUGCACCUCUUGAGAGCGGCGGACGGGUGAGUAAAGCCUAGGAAUCUGCCUGGUAGUGGGGGAUAACGCUCGGAAACGGACGCUAAUACCGCAUACGUCCUACGGGAGAAAGCAGGGGACCUUCGGGCCUUGCGCUAUCAGAUGAGCCUAGGUCGGAUUAGCUAGUUGGUGAGGUAAUGGCUCACCAAGGCGACGAUCCGUAACUGGUCUGAGAGGAUGAUCAGUCACACUGGAACUGAGACACGGUCCAGACUCCUACGGGAGGCAGCAGUGGGGAAUAUUGGACAAUGGGCGAAAGCCUGAUCCAGCCAUGCCGCGUGUGUGAAGAAGGUCUUCGGAUUGUAAAGCACUUUAAGUUGGGAGGAAGGGCAUUAACCUAAUACGUUAGUGUUUUGACGUUACCGACAGAAUAAGCACCGGCUAACUCUGUGCCAGCAGCCGCGGUAAUACAGAGGGUGCAAGCGUUAAUCGGAAUUACUGGGCGUAAAGCGCGCGUAGGUGGUUCGUUAAGUUGGAUGUGAAAUCCCCGGGCUCAACCUGGGAACUGCAUUCAAAACUGUCGAGCUAGAGUAUGGUAGAGGGUGGUGGAAUUUCCUGUGUAGCGGUGAAAUGCGUAGAUAUAGGAAGGAACACCAGUGGCGAAGGCGACCACCUGGACUGAUACUGACACUGAGGUGCGAAAGCGU
RNAcentral lists this ribosomal RNA (707 nucleotides) under uncultured bacterium. RNAcentral describes it as "bacterial SSU rRNA". It matches the Rfam family "Bacterial small subunit ribosomal RNA", at positions 60 to 762 of the family's 1533-position model. The record is from RNAcentral.